GACGAACGCUGGCGGCGUGCCUAAUACAUGCAAGUUGAGCGCUGAAGGUUGGUACUUGUACCAACUGGAUGAGCAGCGAACGGGUGAGUAACGCGUGGGGAAUCUGCCUUUGAGCAGGGGACAACAUUUGGAAACGAAUGCUAAUACCGCAUAAAAACUUUAAACACAAGUUUUAAGUUUGAAAGAUGCAAUUGCAUCACUCAAAGAUGAUCCCGCGUUGUAUUAGCUAGUUGGUGAGGUAAAGGCUCACCAAGGCGAUGAUACAUAGCCGACCUGAGAGGGUGAUCGGCCACAGUGGGACUGAGACACGGCCCAAACUCCUACGGGAGGCAGCAGUAGGGAAUCUUCGGCAAUGGACGAAAGUCUGACCGAGCAACGCCGCGUGAGUGAAGAAGGUUUUCGGAUCGUAAAACUCUGUUGGUAGAGAAGAACGUUGGUGAGAGUGGAAAGCUCACCAAGUGACGGUAACUACCCAGAAAGGGACGGCUAACUACGUG
RNAcentral lists this ribosomal RNA (497 nucleotides) under uncultured bacterium. RNAcentral describes it as "partial 16S ribosomal RNA". It matches the Rfam family "Bacterial small subunit ribosomal RNA", at positions 28 to 507 of the family's 1533-position model. The record is from RNAcentral.